AAAAAAAAAGUAGAAUUCAACAAAGAAGCUGGUUAUGAAAUUAACAUGCAAAAAUCAAGUUUUUCAUACAAAUAGUAACCAGGAGAAAAUAUAAUGAGGGAAAAUAGAAUUUAUAUAUUAGCAAUGAAUUGGAGGGGAAAUACCUAAGAAUAAAGUUAAGAAUCCACAAUACUUACGUGAAUAAAAGCAUAAUACUCUAUUGAGAGAACUCAAAGACAUAUUUGGAUAAAUUGAAAGAUAAAAGUUGGAUAAGAAAUCUCAUUAGUGUAAACUUCUCAAGUCCCCUAAAUUAACAUAGAAAUUCAAUGAGAUUCCAGUCACUGAGAAGUUAAUUCUAAUUCACAUAGAAAUAUAGCUAUAUAUUACAUAUAAUAUAAUAAUAUAGAAACACGUGUCAGAAUAGCCAGGAAUUUUGGGGGGAAAACCAAGGAGGAACUAGUCCUACCAGAUGCCAAAAUGUACAAAAGUACAGUAAUAAAAUGAAGUUAGUGUUGGUGGAGAAAUAGGUCAUUGGAACAGAGUCUAGAAACAGGCUCAAAUACAUACGUCAUUUAAUAUGUGAGGGUCCACGUGCGGAUCCCUAGGCUACUGUCUCAGCUUCGGAGCCGUCCUGCGCUCGCUCGGCGAUGCUGGGCUGGGACGCCGAGCGCGUCUCUCUCGGCCGGCCGGCUGCCCGCCGGUGGUGCCCGCGGGGGCGCUGGGGGAGAGCCGAGCGGGAGGAGAACGGGCGCCGGCUCCUCCGGGCUGCCUCCUGCGGCCGCCGCUGCUGCCCGCGAGCCCUCUGCCCCGGCGGCGAGUGGCCGCUGUUUCCCACGACAGCGAGUUCCAGCGACCUGCGUCUCUCCACGUUCUCAACCAGGCUCGCGUUCUGGGUCUGGGCUCCCUAAGGCCCUCGCCAAACACCGAGAGAAAUUCUAGAGGAAUCAAAGAUUAGCAUAUAAAAAAAUCUGACAGGUUGCAGAUGAGAGGAAGGGGUGAGGAGGAUUCCGAAAAAAUGGCAGUUUAUUGUGCAGAAGCCGUGGCGCUUCCCGACCCAGCCCCAGUCCCGCUGCUCUUCUCCUAAAACAAGCCGCCGCUGAGGCUCCACGGGCGCGGGCAGCGCCCCGGCUCAGUCACCGGCCCGAGGAUGGAGCUGGGGUGGGAGUUCCUCCCUGUGCCGGAGGAGAUCCCGGCGACCAGCAUCAGAGUCCUGGGGCAGCAGAGCGGCCAGCGUGGUACCUACGGUCAGGUUGGGCAGUCCGCGGGCCGCAGGGCAGGGCGGGGGCCCCAGGUCACGGCCCGGAGGAGCCGGGGUCUCUCUGGCCUCCGGGUCGAGCUGACUCCUCUCUGUCCCUGAGCAGCGGACGCUCAGGCUUCACUAGCCUUGGCAGCACGGGGCCCGUUGGAGGACUCGUAGCUCGCGGGCGCUCACGCCGCAGUCCACAGGCCGACUGCGGGCCGGCCCUCCUCCCGGGACGGUGACGACGGGACGGUGACGACGGCCGGGAGAGCGCCAGCGGCAGGGAGCCAGCGCGAGAGCCAGAGAAAGAGUCUCCUAGAGUCCCCGAACCGCUGGAGGGACAGACACGUGCCGGGAGCGCUCCAGGGUUCAAGUCCAGCCCUGGAAAGUCUUCCCGAUGAGAUGCGGAUGAACGCUCGCGCCUGGUGACGUCAGCUAAGAGAGAACGCAAAGACACAGUCACCAGCUUAUUACUCGGCACAGCAGUUUCUAGUCGGAGAACAUCACAUGGAAGGAAGAGGAGUGGCUGCCGCGUGGGGAUGAACCCAAAGCACACUGCGCAGUGGAGGAAGGAGGAGGAAGCAUGUCCCGUGACUCGUCAGUGGGCUGUGCGCACGCACUGGUUUUACACCUUUUGAACGACUCACGUAUUUACUUUUAUUGUGCCCUCAACGUAUUUUCUGUGAUAUAACUUUAUUUGUAGUGAAGUUUGGAUGCAAGAUCACCGUGAACCCCCUAAAUGUUGAGAAAUGGUUGAACGGUGCGGAAAGAAGGCCAUGCCUUCCAAAGAACCCCUUCUCCGCCAGCCCCCCCACUACCAAGUCUUUCUUCCUCCUUCCUUCCUCCUUCGCAGCAAGGUUUUCAGGAGAGAGCUGACAUCUUUAAGGGAAGGAUAGGUGCAUUUUUUGGAUUAGCGAUGCUCUCUGCGGAGUACAGAUGAAGUCGCAUUGCCUCAUGGAGCUCAUGGCUACUAUCUUGGGAACCAACUGAAGCAGCUGGAGAAUUGAAGUCGUUGGCAUUCAUUGGACCGUCUCCAUUCCUUGCUGUAGACAGAAAGACACCGUUCUCAACGUGUUGAGUUUGUGAUCCUAGGGACCAAGCUUUGGCCUUUUACCACUAAGAUGAAAUGACUACAGACCCAUUGACUAAGGACCACAAAGGCUCAAGUAAACAUAAGGAAAAGGGUGUGUAUCACUAAGGAUUAGGUUUAACUAAAAGGCAGACCUCCAUGGUAACACUGCUGACUUAAGACAGUGGUAUAUUUCUCUGUCUUGUGUAAAGGUCUGGAAGGUAAGUAAUCCAGGGAUGUUGUAGAAUCUCUAUUCCUCUAAGUCUCCAGGAACUCAAACUCCUUCUGGCUUGCUGCUUUACCAUCCCACUGGUGUGGUCCUUAUCCUCAUAGUCCAAGAAGGCAGCUAGAGCUCCAGCUCUCUCACCACAUUACAAGCAGUGGGAUGGAAAGAGUGACAGAGACGAAGGGGAGCAUGAUGGUUGAGAUUAUGUGUCGACUUGACUGGCCGUGGGCUGCCCAGAUUAAACAUUAUUUCUAGGUGUGUCUGUAAGGGUAUUUCUGAAUGAGAUUGACAUUUGAAUCUGUGAACUCAGUAAAGUAAAUUGACCUCCCCAAAGUGGGUGGGCAUCAUCCAUUCUGCUGAGGGCCUGAAUAGAACAAAAGAUGGAGGAAGGAGGAGUUCGCUGGGACAUCUCCUCUCAUCUUCUGCCUCAGACUAGGACUGAUGCUAUUGGCUCCCCUGGUCCUCAGGCCUUUGGACUCAGACUGAAUUAUAUCACCGGCUUUCCUGCGUCUCCAGGAUCUGCAGACAGCAGAUUGUGGGGCUUCCUCGCCUCCAUAAUCGUGGGAGCCAAUUCCUCAUAAUAAAUCGCCUUUGAUGUCUAUGUA
Equus quagga is the source of this 3119-nucleotide long non-coding RNA. RefSeq lists it as uncharacterized. NCBI's taxonomy places the organism in Eukaryota, Metazoa, Chordata, Mammalia, Perissodactyla, Equidae. The record is from RefSeq and is a predicted model, not a curated record. The transcript is spliced from 3 exons.